AUUAAGUUUAUUUUUUAAUUUUUAGAUAUAAUGUUUUGAUUGUUCGUAUUAUUUGAAAUUUUUUUACGAUUAAUAUUUUUAUAGCCACCGAUGGUAAAACAAAAAUAGAACUUUACGCGUGACUAAUUUUUUUAAUUUUUUAUAUAAAUUUUUCAAAUAAGACGAAUGGUCAAAUGUUGGAGUACAGAAAACAAAAAAUAAAAUUAUU
Molecule: microRNA precursor, 208 nt
Filed under: Oryza brachyantha (malo sina)
Lineage: Eukaryota; Viridiplantae; Streptophyta; Magnoliopsida; Poales; Poaceae
Description: MIR812 microRNA precursor family
Rfam family: MIR812 microRNA precursor family
Source: Rfam by way of RNAcentral